GAUGAACGCUGGCGGCGUGCCUAAUACAUGCAAGUCGAGCGAACGGACGAGAAGCUUGCUUCUCUGAUGUUAGCGGCGGACGGGUGAGUAACACGUGGAUAACCUACCUAUAAGACUGGGAUAACUUCGGGAAACCGGAGCUAAUACCGGAUAAUAUUUUGAACCGCAUGGUUCAAAAGUGAAAGACGGUCUUGCUGUCACUUAUAGAUGGAUCCGCGCUGCAUUAGCUAGUUGGUAAGGUAACGGCUUACCAAGGCAACGAUGCAUAGCCGACCUGAGAGGGUGAUCGGCCACACUGGAACUGAGACACGGUCCAGACUCUGACGGGAGGCAGCAGUAGGGAAGCUUCCGAAAUGGGCGAAAGCCUGACGGAGCAACGCCGCGUGAGUGAUGAAGGGCUGCGGAUCGUAAAACGCUGUUAUUAGGGAAGAACAUAUGUGUAAGUAACUGUGCACAUCUGGACGGUACCUAAUCAGAAAGCCACGGCUAACUACGG
Molecule: ribosomal RNA, 496 nt
Filed under: uncultured bacterium
Lineage: Bacteria
Description: partial 16S ribosomal RNA
Rfam family: Bacterial small subunit ribosomal RNA
Source: RNAcentral